AACGUAGGUGGCAAGCGUUAUCCGGAAUUACUGGGCGUAAAGCGUGCGUAGGCGGUUUGUUAAGUCCGUUGUGAAAGCCCUGGGCUCAACCUGGGAAUUGCAGUGGAUACUGGCGAGCUAGAGUGCGGUAGAGGAUGGUGGAAUUCCCGGUGUAGCGGUGAAAUGCGUAGAGAUCGGGAGGAACACCCGUGGCGAAGGCGGCCAUCUGGACCAGCACUGACGCUGAGGCACGAAAGCGUGGGGAGCAAACAGG
RNAcentral lists this ribosomal RNA (253 nucleotides) under uncultured bacterium. RNAcentral describes it as "partial 16S ribosomal RNA". It matches the Rfam family "Bacterial small subunit ribosomal RNA", at positions 524 to 776 of the family's 1533-position model. The record is from RNAcentral.